Molecule: transfer RNA, 75 nt
Filed under: Pseudogymnoascus destructans 20631-21
Lineage: Eukaryota; Fungi; Ascomycota; Leotiomycetes; Thelebolales; Thelebolaceae
Description: tRNA-Glu (CTC) (tRNA-Glu-CTC-1-1)
Rfam family: tRNA
About the family: Transfer RNA (tRNA) molecules are approximately 80 nucleotides in length. Their secondary structure includes four short double-helical elements and three loops (D, anti-codon, and T loops).
Source: RNAcentral
GGCCCGAUGGUCUAGCGGUUAAGACUUCCGUCCCUCAAACGAUGGAGAACUCCAGUUCGAAUCUGGAUCGGGCCA